Molecule: ribosomal RNA, 684 nt
Filed under: uncultured beta proteobacterium
Lineage: Bacteria; Pseudomonadati; Pseudomonadota; Betaproteobacteria
Description: bacterial SSU rRNA
Rfam family: Bacterial small subunit ribosomal RNA
Source: RNAcentral
CGAACGGUAACAGGUUAAGCUGACGAGUGGCGAACGGGUGAGUAAUGUAUCGGAACGUGCCCAGUCGUGGGGGAUAACUGCUCGAAAGAGCAGCUAAUACCGCAUACGACCUGAGGGUGAAAGCGGGGGAUCGCAAGACCUCGCGCGAUUGGAGCGGCCGAUAUCAGAUUAGGUAGUUGGUGGGGUAAAGGCUCACCAAGCCAACGAUCUGUAGCUGGUCUGAGAGGACGACCAGCCACACUGGGACUGAGACACGGCCCAGACUCCUACGGGAGGCAGCAGUGGGGAAUUUUGGACAAUGGGCGCAAGCCUGAUCCAGCCAUGCCGCGUGCGGGAAGAAGGCCUUCGGGUUGUAAACCGCUUUUGUCAGGGAAGAAAAGGUUCUGGCUAAUACCUGGGACUCAUGACGGUACCUGAAGAAUAAGCACCGGCUAACUACGUGCCAGCAGCCGCGGUAAUACGUAGGGUGCAAGCGUUAAUCGGAAUUACUGGGCGUAAAGCGUGCGCAGGCGGUUAUGCAAGACAGAGGUGAAAUCCCCGGGCUCAACCUGGGAACUGCCUUUGUGACUGCAUAGCUAGAGUGCGGCAGAGGGGGAUGGAAUUCCGCGUGUAGCAGUGAAAUGCGUAGAUAUGCGGAGGAACACCGAUGGCGAAGGCAAUCCCCUGGGCCUGCACUGACGCUCA